CCCCUCUCAGGGUUGCACCUGGAGAGUUUCCAGUACUCUACCAGUCUCGAUUAUGGGAGGGAAAGUCAAGCAGAGGCAUACUCAUUCCAUUCCUAGUUUGGCCAGUGUCCGGUGAGUGGAAGGCAAUCUGCAACAAGU
Molecule: non-coding RNA, 138 nt
Organism: Ornithorhynchus anatinus (platypus)
Lineage: Eukaryota; Metazoa; Chordata; Mammalia; Monotremata; Ornithorhynchidae
Source: Rfam